Molecule: non-coding RNA, 718 nt
Organism: Lupinus albus (white lupine)
Lineage: Eukaryota; Viridiplantae; Streptophyta; Magnoliopsida; Fabales; Fabaceae
Source: the annotation of a GenBank genome assembly
GUCUACCAAUUUCGCCAUAUCCCCCCUCUUUUUAGAUUGUGAUCUCAUUCUCACUAGGAUUUUUUUCAGUUAAAUUAUGAGAAUUAUUCCAGAACUGUUGAAUGGAUUCGAUACUGAUUCCUAUAUUGAAAGAUGUUUCCUCCGAUUUUAUUUAUUCUCGUUCAUCGAUAUUGGAUAUUCAUAUUUGGUAGAAUCUAACUAAAAUGAUUCUAUUAUUUCUGUAUUCGCAAUUCAAUAUACCUAGAAAUAUACCACAUAUCUAUCCUUUUUAUAUGUCCCUGCCCUAUUAUUUUUUCAUGCAAUUUGGAAUACUCGAACGGUCGAUUCUUUUUUUUUUUUAAUCCAUUUAUUAAUUUAGAAUAGAAAUCGAUGUAUUAUACAUAUUUCAUCUUAAUGUAUAAGAAUAGUGUAAUAUAAAUUACUGUUUACUGUAAUCCAAUUCUUCAUUAUUCGAAAUUCUAAGAAAUUCGAACGUUUUUUUUUCUAAUUCGAAUAUUAUAAAAAAAUUCGAAAUGAAAUAAUAUAAAUAAUAUUAUAUAAAUAGAAGAUACUCUAAUAUAAAUAUAAAAUACAGUAACUAACUAAGAUCCCGUUAGUAGCUUAGCUUAAAAAAUUCCUAUGUACGCGGAAUUUUGGCUUUGUGAGCCCGCUUAGCUCAGAGGUUAGAGCAUCGCAUUUGUAAUGCGAUGGUCAUCGGUUCGAUUCCGAUAGCCGGCUU